CUUUGAUGCCGCUGGUGAACGACCUCACAUUUUCUUUCCUGGUUUUCUGGUUCUGCCUCCCUGUGGGUUUGCUGUUGUUAUUGAUCAUCUGGCUACGCUUCUUACUUAGCCAAGAUUCAGAGGAAAAUGACUCCAGUGUGUGCUUGGAUUGGGAGCCCUGGAGCAAAGGCCCAGCUGAGUUUUGCUGGAAGGGGACACUCCACGGCCAAGAGAAGGAGAGGCCCUGCUGGUGAGCCUGCUGUGCCAGUUUGGUUUUCCUGGAGUCAGCAGGGCAGUGGCAAUGGCAGAAGUGGAUGGGAGAGACUUGCCAGGGAGGCAAGAGGACUUUGGCAACUGUGGUGCCUCCCUGGAACCCCCAACUCAUCUCCUCUUCAGACCGACAUGUGAAAGCCUCCAGAGGUCCCAGCCCUUCUCCAGCAUCACAGAUGACCUCCAGCCCUGCAGGGAGCCGCUCAAGUCUGGGAGGGCAUGGGAGCAGUGAGCAGGCCCAUGGGGAGAAAUUGGCCAAUUUAAUUCAGAGGGGUCUUAAAGCAGGGCUGGGCCGGAG
RNAcentral lists this long non-coding RNA (547 nucleotides) under Homo sapiens (human). Its description in RNAcentral is "HSALNT0267024". The record is from RNAcentral. Lineage: Eukaryota; Metazoa; Chordata; Mammalia; Primates; Hominidae.